RNAcentral lists this ribosomal RNA (494 nucleotides) under uncultured bacterium. RNAcentral's name for it is "partial 16S ribosomal RNA". It matches the Rfam family "Bacterial small subunit ribosomal RNA", at positions 28 to 507 of the family's 1533-position model. The record is from RNAcentral.
GACGAACGCUGGCGGCGUGCUUAACACAUGCAAGUCGAACGGAAAGGCCUGCUUUUUCUUGUGGAUUGCGGGUACUCGAGUGGCGAACGGGUGAGUAACACGUGAGUGAUCUGCUCCCAACUUGGGUAUAAGCCUGGGAAACUGGGUCUAAUUCCCGAUAGGACUGCAGGGUGGUGCGUGUGGUGGAAAACGUUUUUCUAGUGGUUGGGGAUGAGCUCGCGGCCUAUCAGCUUGUUGGUGGGGUAAUGGCCUACGAAGGCGGCGACUGGUAGCCGGCCUGGGGGGGUCGGCGGCAACAUUGGGACUGAGCAACGGCCCAGACUCCUACGGGAGGCAGCAGUGGGGAAUGUAGCACAAUGGGAGGAAGCAUGAUGCAGCGACGCCGGGUGGGGGAUGGCGGCCUUCGGGUUGUAAGCUCCUGUCGGCCGAGAGGAAGCCACCUGGUUGGAAGGGUGGUGACGGUAGUGGUAGAAGAAGCCCCGGCUAACUACGUG